UAGCAUAUGCAAUGGAGAACAUAUCAUCAUUCAUAUCUUUACCUAUAGCACCAAGUAAAACUCCUCCAUCCUUAUGCUUAACAAAUGUUCCAUCCAUGAAUAUUGGAGGUCUAUAACCUUUUAUGAAACUAUUGAUUAAGGCUUUAAAUGAAAUGAAUAGAUGUCUAAAUUGAUCUUCAAUGAUUUCAUACGUUGCUAUGCUACCAGGGUUGGUCUGAAGAAUGGCAUCAUUAUACCAUCGUAUCCUUUCAUAAGAUACCUCUCACCAU
This 269-nucleotide long non-coding RNA is filed under the name Elaeis guineensis (African oil palm). Its description in RNAcentral is "long non-coding RNA (EGUI_LNC020754)". The record is from RNAcentral. Lineage: Eukaryota; Viridiplantae; Streptophyta; Magnoliopsida; Arecales; Arecaceae.